Molecule: ribosomal RNA, 1505 nt
Filed under: Escherichia coli
Lineage: Bacteria; Pseudomonadati; Pseudomonadota; Gammaproteobacteria; Enterobacterales; Enterobacteriaceae
Description: partial 23S ribosomal RNA
Rfam family: Bacterial large subunit ribosomal RNA
Source: RNAcentral
ACACGGUGGAUGCCCUGGCAGUCAGAGGCGAUGAAGGACGUGCUAAUCUGCGAUAAGCGUCGGUGAGGUGAUAUGAACCGUUAUAACCGGCGAUUUCCGAAUGGGGAAACCCAGUGUGUUUCGACACACUAUCAUUAACUGAAUCCAUAGGUUAAUGAGGCGAACCGGGGGAACUGAAACAUCUAAGUACCCCGAGGAAAAGAAAUCAACCGAGAUUCCCCCAGUAGCGGCGAGCGAACGGGGAGGAGCCCAGAGCCUGAAUCAGUGUGUGUGUUAGUGGAAGCGUCUGGAAAGGCGUGCGAUACAGGGUGACAGCCCCGUACACAAAAAUGCACAUAUUGUGAGCUCGAUGAGUAGGGCGGGACACGUGGUAUCCUGUCUGAAUAUGGGGGGACCAUCCUCCAAGGCUAAAUACUCCUGACUGACCGAUAGUGAACCAGUACCGUGAGGGAAAGGCGAAAAGAACCCCGGCGAGGGGAGUGAAAAAGAACCUGAAACCGUGUACGUACAAGCAGUGGGAGCCUCUUAAUGGGGUGACUGCGUACCUUUUGUAUAAUGGGUCAGCGACUUAUAUUCUGUAGCAAGGUUAACCGAAUAGGGGAGCCGAAGGGAAACCGAGUCUUAACUGGGCGUUAAGUUGCAGGGUAUAGACCCGAAACCCGGUGAUCUAGCCAUGGGCAGGUUGAAGGUUGGGUAACACUAACUGGAGGACCGAACCGACUAAUGUUGAAAAAUUAGCGGAUGACUUGUGGCUGGGGGUGAAAGGCCAAUCAAACCGGGAGAUAGCUGGUUCUCCCCGAAAGCUAUUUAGGUAGCGCCUCGUGAAUUCAUCUCCGGGGGUAGAGCACUGUUUCGGCAAGGGGGUCAUCCCGACUUACCAACCCGAUGCAAACUGCGAAUACCGGAGAAUGUUAUCACGGGAGACACACGGCGGGUGCUAACGUCCGUCGUGAAGAGGGAAACAACCCAGACCGCCAGCUAAGGUCCCAAAGUCAUGGUUAAGUGGGAAACGAUGUGGGAAGGCCCAGACAGCCAGGAUGUUGGCUUAGAAGCAGCCAUCAUUUAAAGAAAGCGUAAUAGCUCACUGGUCGAGUCGGCCUGCGCGGAAGAUGUAACGGGGCUAAACCAUGCACCGAAGCUGCGGCAGCGACACUAUGUGUUGUUGGGUAGGGGAGCGUUCUGUAAGCCUGUGAAGGUGGCCUGUGAGGGUUGCUGGAGGUAUCAGAAGUGCGAAUGCUGACAUAAGUAACGAUAAAGCGGGUGAAAAGCCCGCUCGCCGGAAGACCAAGGGUUCCUGUCCAACGUUAAUCGGGGCAGGGUGAGUCGACCCCUAAGGCGAGGCCGAAAGGCGUAGUCGAUGGGAAACAGGUUAAUAUUCCUGUACUUGGUGUUACUGCGAAGGGGGGACGGAGAAGGCUAUGUUGGCCGGGCGACGGUUGUCCCGGUUUAAGCGUGUAGGCUGGUUUUCCAGGCAAAUCCGGAAAACCAAGGCUGAGGCGUGAUGA